Phascolarctos cinereus (koala) is the source of this 2404-nucleotide long non-coding RNA. The record is from Ensembl. Lineage: Eukaryota; Metazoa; Chordata; Mammalia; Diprotodontia; Phascolarctidae.
CACACACAUUGAUGAAUUUAACUGAAAUUUAAUCCAGCAAUAAUUCCCCUCAACAGACAUUUAUUUCCUGAGCACUUAGGUUGUACAAGGCAUUGAAGGGAUACAAAGAGUUCCUGCCCAUGAGGAGUUUACCUUCUACCAAUGGCAAAGGACUAAAGCCUUCACUGAGACAAUUGCAUAGGAGGUAAUUUAAGAAGGGAGGGAAGACUGAGCAGAAUCGAAGAAGGUAUUCAUUUAACUUCAUUUCCCUAGAAGACUUUUAAUUGUUCACAAGAAAACCGAUUUUAUCUCAUCUCUUGACAUGUCACAGACACCCAAUUCCAGGAAUGAAUUUUCACACUUCUCUUAGAGAGUUCUGUCAAAUAUUUUCUUCCCCCAUACAAGUUGUAUCUAGUUGACCGUGUGAGGAGUAUACGCGUCUUUUUUAACUUGUUAAAACAUCCUCUCCCUUUUGGGAGUUAAUAAAGGAAAGGGCCAGAGAGAAUUAGGAACGUGGACCCCGUGUGGAAGGGAUGGAACACAGAUUUAGUUUAGAUAUUUUCCCCUCUUAAAGACCUAGAUACAAGGGCCGCCUCUGGUUGCAGCACUCUUCUCCACUGAGUUAUUGAUUGCAGGCAGCUCCAGUCCCACCACAAUAAUUCGUGUUACCACUUCACCCGUGCUGAUUCUGUGUUCAGCAGAAGCUCUCUGACUGUGAGACAUCCAAUUUUUCUCCCUCCUCUUCCCUUCCUAAACUCCCACCAACAAUAUACUCCUCCCUCUGCCCGCCUCCUCCGUCCCCUCUACUCCCCCCCCCCAAUUCUUCGAUGCCGCCAGGGCUAAGGGUGAAGGCUCUAGUGAGCUGUCGCACUGCCGCGUCAAUUCUAAAGCUCUGAGGCAGAAACUAGUGGGGGGUGAGUGCCACGUGGGACCCCGGCGUGAAGGAGGGCUUAGUGUCUCGCCGGAGAAGAGAGCAGAGGCGACCCAGGACCACACUGAAAGAAACGAGCUACGCUCCGCCGCUAAAGUUCCCUUCGCCAGCUGUAGGCGGUCUGGUCUGGAUGCCUUGCCUAUCGGAAGUCAUCUCGGGACUGUGCAGGAGCCUCAGGAGUGUGGGAGCCGCUAGGGCAGGGUGCAGUCCCCUCCCUAGUCCCACCCCCGCCAUGUUUCCUUUCUCCCGACCCCUCUCCCACGCACGUCUCUAGAGUAUGCGUCUGGAAGAGAAGGAUAGGGAGAAGGCCAGAGGGACCUUGAGACCUUGACUUUGUUGUCAUCUCAGGGCAUAGAUUCACUGUUUCAGGUCGUCCACCUCUGGGACGACUAACAGCAAACAGCUGGCGGCAGCGGCGGGAGCAGCAGUAGAAGCAGCGGUUGCUAGACGUGCCAAUGAGAAAGACUUUCUCAGAGUAGGAGAGCAGAAAGCUACUGUUGGUGGGCUAGAAUGAGCAGUCUGUCCCUCCUCCCCGCCCCCCCCCACUCCCGCCUACUUUUCCCUAACAUGCAGGACUAGCGUGGUAUCAUAGUCAUUGCACAAAUGUCAUCACUAAAACAAAAAAUAUUCUUUCUGGUGAGAGCAAGAGAGCUGGUUGUUUGGUCUGUCCCGAGAAUCAUCACGAGUUCCACUAAAAACCUCUUCACAUGUUAAAAAGCCUACUUUGCAAUCAAAAUACUUUACAAAGUUUUCCGGCUGUGUGAAAACUGAAUUCAUCAAUGGAGUGAUUUAAAAAAAAAUGUUUUUGGAUACAGUAUAUAUGUGCUUUUUAAACUGUCCUCUGGAGGCAACAGAAGAGGAGUAAAAUGCUUUGUAAUUUAUAAUUCCAAAACUUUAUUUUAGACUUUCUUAACAUUUCCACCACAAACCACUAGUCUUGGUAGUUUAUAUCUAGGUUAGAUGAAUUCACCUUAAAGAAAUUUGUCAUGAUUUAUAUUCUCAGAACAGGAGUACAUUUUUUUCCUUCAAGCUUAAAAAAUUAAAUUAUUUAUUUUAAAGUGAUACUACAGAAUACAAUAAGAUUCAGUCAAAUGGAAUCAAAAAAAGAGUAAGUUGCAGACACCUCGUCAAACUGGCAAAUUAUGUUUGACCGCAAAACAACAUUUUAUAAUAACCUUCCUAAAAAGAAUCAUAUAACAUAUUGUCAUUAUUAUUAUUAUUUUUAGAAUCCACAGGAACUUCUUUUGAAACAAGAUUUUCCUUUUAGAAUAAGGGCCUAAAGCACUCAGCUAACUGUUGGGAAAAAAGGGUGCUACAUAAAUUUUGGAAAUAUGAUAUUUAUGUGUGUAUCAUAUAUAUAUGGCAUAUUACUUGGACACAUUUGUGUUUCAUCUUUAUUAGAAUGAGUUUUGGAAAGAAAAUUACAAUACUAUACAUGCAACACAAGUAAUUGCAACUCAAACAUUUGUAAAUAAAUAUUUAGAAAAUACUCCA